Small nuclear RNA from Camelus dromedarius (Arabian camel), 163 nucleotides. Its record names the gene U1. It matches the Rfam family "U1 spliceosomal RNA". From Rfam's summary of the family: U1 is a small nuclear RNA (snRNA) component of the spliceosome (involved in pre-mRNA splicing). Its 5' end forms complementary base pairs with the 5' splice junction, thus defining the 5' donor site of an intron. NCBI's taxonomy places the organism in Eukaryota, Metazoa, Chordata, Mammalia, Artiodactyla, Camelidae. The record is from Ensembl.
AUUCUUACCUGGUAGGGGAAAUACCAUGAUGACAAGUGUGGUUUUCCCAGGGCGAGGCUCAUCCAUUGCACUCUGGAUAUGCUGACCCUUGCGAUUUCCCCAAAUGUGGGAAACUGCACUGCAUGAUUUGUGGUAGUGGGGAAAAUCACCUGAUUUUCACCAA